This is a long non-coding RNA of Mesoplodon densirostris (Blainville's beaked whale), 4489 nucleotides long. RefSeq lists it as uncharacterized. The record is from RefSeq and is a predicted model, not a curated record. Lineage: Eukaryota; Metazoa; Chordata; Mammalia; Artiodactyla; Ziphiidae. The transcript has 3 exons.
GAGAGUGUUCAGGCAGCUGCCCGAGCUCCCGGUAGAGGCCUGACAGCUGAUGAAGCGCCAGCCCCUGGCACUGCUGGGAACUAAGAAUCCGGCCGGCCUCCGUGACUCAUUUUCUUCAUCUGUACGAUGAGACCAUCGGACUGGAUGUUCUCGAAGGCUCCUUCCAGCGCUGGUGAAUCAACAGUUCCUCCUCCACUCUCUACUCUCCCCCAUCCCCCACGACCCCCCACCCCACCCCAGGGAUGUGUAUAUGGGUCUUCCUGCUGCCACCAUGCCUUUGGUCUCCACCCUCCCCCACGGUUGCUGGAAACCCUCACGCCAUAGUUGCCUCGUUCACUCCUUCACUCGUUCAACAAACAUCUCAAGGAUGCCUGUUUGGGGAAUGCAGAGAUAAGAAGGCAUGGCCUGGGCUCCAGAAGCUCACAGAUUUAGGGAGAGAGAGACCCGCCAACAAAUAACUGGAUCAAGAGCUUGAUACCCUAAAGGCAGGAACAGACCUAGGGCUGGAGGAAUCCAGAGGCGGGAGUGGCCACUGCAGCUGGGGAUCGGGGAAGGCUCCUAGAAGUAGGAGGCAGCUGAGCUGGGCCUGGAACCACGAGCUCUCCGGAACCUGUGGAGGUGGAGAGGGCAUGCCUUGGGGCCGAGGGGGGCCCGGGGAGGAGGGUCCACUGGAGUCAAGGACAGUGAUGGGAGCAGAGGUUGGAGGGUGGCGGCAGGAGAGGAUGGCAAUUCCAGGUGGAGCCGUUCGCCAUUCUGAAGGCCUUCCAAGUGCUACGAGCUGGUGGACAUGGUCAUGGGAUCCUCUUGGUGGGGAGUUCUGUUUCCUUAAUUCAAUACUGUGUCCUCAGAGCCAGGAACUGGGCAUGGCACAUAGUAGGUGUUGAGUAAGCAUGUAUGGAAAGAGGGAGGGAAUGGUCAGAUUUGAAUUGUAUAUAUGGUGGGAUGGACUGGAGGGGGCCAGACCCAGGCAGGCCAGCUGGUGAGGAGGUGGGCCUAGGAGGUGUCGUGGUUAGAGGCCAGGAGUGGGGGUGGGGCAGAAAAGGAAGUGGCACUGCCUGGUCACCUGGUUGCAGCCUGGCUGUCAGGUGCAGAUGAGGAAAGCGGUCCGGCUGGGCAGUGAGGGAAUGGAAGGGGGGAAGGGGAAGGGGCAGCUUUGGGCUCGUGUGAGACAGGCUGAACUUUCAUGCCCACCUUGGGGUAUGUUUCAUGCCCCCAUCCCCUCCAAGAGGUGGCAUCUCCAGAGCAGGGCCAAGUCUGCUUUCCCUAUAGCCCCAACCCCUACCCAGCUGUUUUGUUUUUUUUUUUUGGCCGUGCCACAAGGCAUGCAGGAUCUUAGUUCCCCGACCAAGGAUUGAACCAGUGCCACCUGUAUCGGAAGCGUGAAGUCUUAACCACUGGACCUCCAGGGAACUCCCAGCCUGAGGCCUAGUUUUGCUGAACCUGUGUAAAGCGUUAAAGAGAUCACUGACACUUCUUUGACCAGCUUCCUCAGAUCAGAAACAGAGCCACCGGCCAAAGGCCUCCUCAGGUGCCCCUUCCGGUCUGAGGGAAUAGAAAGUAGAGAGGGGUCAUGUGCUGACACAGCCCUAGCCUUCAGAGCAUGGCACCCCUGCUCUGCAGCCCAGACCAGACCAAGGACAUCUGUGUCAUGGCACGUGCAGCCCAGAGCCGUGGCCAUGUCCGCUGCCCUCUCAGCAGAGGUGGGCCAGGGUUCUUGACCUGUGGAGCCCUAAAGGAUUGCAGAGUGCCUGUGAGGUCUGAAGUUGCCUGCAGAUGGUGGGCGUGUGCACAUUCUUCCGAGGAAAGGGUUCCCAACUUCCAUCAGAUUCCCAAAGAGCAGCUGAUUCAAAGCAAGGUUAAAAUCUAUCACUAAAAGAAAAGGAGAAGGAAGAUGAGGAGGAGGAAGAGGAGAGUGUAUGCAUUUGUUUAGGUCUCUAUAAAAGAAAGAAAUUCAGGGCUUCCCCGGUGGCACAGUGGUUGGGAGUCCGCCUGCCGAUGCAGGGGACGUGGGUUCGUGCCCCCGGUCCGGGAAGAUCCCACAUGCCGCGGAGCGGCUGGGCCCGUGAGCCAUGGCCGCUGAGCCUGCACGUCCAGAGCCUGUGCUCCGCAACGGGAGAGGCCACAACAGUGAGGGGGCCGCGUACCGCAAAAAAAAAAAAAAAGGAAAGAAAUACAGUGUGAGUAGCUAUUAAAAAAAACCCACACCAAGCUCUCCCUUUCCAAUCCCCAUCCUAGCACCCAUCCGGGGCUGGACACAUGGUGUUUUCUUUUAAGUGGCCACUUAUGACUCGCUCUAUGGCAGGCCCUGUGCCGAGCACUCUCAGGACAACAUCCCCUUUCAGCUUCCUCACAGCCCGGCGUGGAGCCUGGAUUCACAGCCAGUGUUGCUCUGCGCUGUGUUCCAGCGGUUCUGAACACUCCACCGCUAUGGAGGGUCCUGCACAUGGGCCUGUCCUAUCCCCUGUUCACUGCUGAAGCAAUGCCGGGUGUCUGGGCGUUGGGCGGAAUGGGGUUAUUCAAAGCCCACAGGGCAUCCCGGCUAGGAAGAAGGCCUUUCUGGGUCCCUGUUUUUCUCCCCACCAAGCUGCAGGCUCCACAGACUCACGCGUGGAGACACGAGGUGGACGUGCUGGGUCCUGGUCCCUUGGUGCCAGCUCUUCUCCUGAUCCUGAGAAGUCUGAGUCCCUCUCAUUUCUCAGACGCAAGGACCCCAGGACCCUCUGCCUUCCCCACACUCCCCAGGUACCCAAAUCCACAGAGGCCUGGUCUCACCACCUGCCAUCCGGGCACCAAGUGUUUAUUAGAGUCCAAUUUUUAUCCGCACCGCGGAGAAGGAGGAGGAAACAAAGAGGGGGAACCCGGACCAGACCCCAGACCCCUCCCCCCACCGGAGCCCAGGGCAUCUGCCCUGUUGGGCCAAGGAAGACUUCGUGAGAUCCCUGAGGGCCCCAGGAGGAGGGGGCUGGGAGCAGCAGUAGAGGGCUGGGGGCCGCUGCUUCCCCAUCCAUGCCCCAGGCCAAGGCCCUCAGUCUAGAUUGUACCCUUUCUUUGAAGGGGUGUAGCGCCCCUCUCUGGAAGAGGAGGAGGAAGUGCUCCCUUUGGCUCCCUGCUCCCUUGGGCAGCCCCAAAGGGCACGUGACCCUAGGCCUGCUGCCAUCCGGCCCAGGUCCCAGCCACUGGGCGCACCGGGGCUCCCCGAGGCCGCUCAGUCAGCCGACUGCAUUGCUCUUCCCCUCACAGGCUCCUCCUCCGUCUACCCUUUCUCCCUUCCACCUCCUGACCCGAACCCCUUUUGAUCUCAGGGUCAGAUGCAGCUGUGGUCUGUAUAUCCCACCUCUCGUCAUGCAGAAGGCCUGGCUGGCGUGGCCUUGGCCCAGGGCAUGGGGCGAGGGCUGGAGGGGAGAGCCUGGCCUGGAGAGGUGCGACCAAGGGUGAGCUCCCUGGCCCCUCAGGCUGGGGCUUAGGGGCCCACCCAGUCUGGGCACUCCUGGGCCAGGGGAGGGGUCUGGGGAGGCUUUGGGGCCAGCCUCCAGCCCUCAGCCAGGGUCCUCCUGCAGCCGGCUCGAAGGAAGUGGUUCCUCAGCCUGGAUGGUGGUGCACCAAGGGUUAGGCCAUUCUUCCUCCUGUCUAACUUAGCUCCGGCUUGCUGUCCCAUCUCCGUGUCCGCCCAGUGGUAGAGAGGAGCUGAGGGUCCUAUGGAGUGGCAGGGGAGGCUCCCAGGUCUGGCACCGUCAAAGGUGUCCCUGGGUCCACUGAGCUGAGGUCCCCAGGCUGGUGAGCUGGCAUCAAGCAGGAAGCGGGGCAGGGUGAUCCCUGUGUUCGAAACGGCUCUUUGUUCCCUGGCCAUGGUGGGCGAGCAGGAGGUGAGGGCGGGGGCCCUCUAGAAGCAGCAGAAUCCAGAUCCUCUUUGUCUUCAGGGCCCCCGCCCUCAAGGUCUUCCCUGGACCCGAGACCUCUUUGUAGCAGUGGGGUGCAGGGCCCCUGCGGCUCCUGGGUCCUGACCCCUCGCCUCUCCCUGUGCCAGGGGGCACGAAACUGGGUCUGCUGGGCUCAGAAGCCCCCACUCUCUGAGCUGCUUCGGCUGUGGUAGCUGGGACUGGGGGUCCGGGAAGGGCUGCGAGUGCGGCUGCGGGUCCGACUGCGGCUGCUGUAGCUUCCAUGGCUGUGGCCCGGGCUGGGGCUCCGGCUUGAGUAGUCGCUGCUCAGGCAGCUGGAGGAGGACGAGGGGCUGGGCCGGUAGUAGGGGAUGGGACGCUUUCGGGCACUGCCGGGAGGGAAGAGCUGAUUACAGGCCAGCCAAGGCCCUGAGCUGUGCCAGUCCUGGGCCCUCACUCAGGCCCUGAGCCCCUCCCCAGCAGUGGCCAGGGCUUCCCUGCCUCAGUUUCCCCUGAGCCUUGACCUUGGAAUUCUCCCCACCUCCACCCCUGCUCCAGCAAGACUGGACAUGCAGUGGUCCAAUUUCAUGUUGAUCACUUUGUUUUUCCUCACU